AACGAACGCUGGCGGCAUGCCUAACACAUGCAAGUCGAACGAAACCUUCGGGUCUAGUGGCGCACGGGUGCGUAACGCGUGGGAACCUGCCCUUAGGUUCGGAAUAACUCCCCGAAAGGUGUGCUAAUACCGGAUAAGCUCUUCGGGCCAAAGAUUUAUCGCCUUUGGAUGGGCCCGCGUUGGAUUAGCUAGUUGGUAGGGUAAAAGCCUACCAAGGCGACGAUCCAGAGCUGGUCUGAGAGGAUGCUCAGCCACACUGGGACUGAGACACGGCCCAGACUCGUACGGGAGGAAGCAGUGGGGAAUAUUGGACACUGAGGGAAAGCGUGAUAAAGCCAUGCCGCGUGAGUGAUGAAGGACUUAGGGUUGUAAAGCUCUUUUACCCGGGAUGAUAAUGACAGUACCGGGAGAAUAAGCUCCGGCUAACUACGUG
This 433-nucleotide ribosomal RNA is filed under the name uncultured bacterium. RNAcentral's name for it is "partial 16S ribosomal RNA". It matches the Rfam family "Bacterial small subunit ribosomal RNA", at positions 29 to 507 of the family's 1533-position model. The record is from RNAcentral.